GUAGGUGGCAAGCAUUGUCCGGAAUUAUUGGGCGUAAAGCGCGCGCAGGUGGUUCUUUAAGUCUGAUGUGAAAGCCCCCGGCUCAACCGGGGAGGGUCAUUGGAAACUGGGGAACUUGAGUGCAGGAGAGGAAAGUGGAAUUCCACAUGUAGCGGUGAAAUGCGUAGAUAUGUGGAGGAACACCAGUGGCGAAGGCGACUUUCUGGCCUGUAACUGACACUGAGGCGCGAAAGCGUGGGGAGCAAACAGGGAUUAGAUACCCUGGUAGUCCACGCCGUAAACGAUGAGUGCUAAGUGUUGGGGGGGUUUCCGCCCCCUCAGUGCUGCAGCUAACGCAUUAAGCACUCCGCCUGGGAUACGGUCGCAAGACUG
RNAcentral lists this ribosomal RNA (372 nucleotides) under uncultured organism. RNAcentral's name for it is "partial 16S ribosomal RNA". It matches the Rfam family "Bacterial small subunit ribosomal RNA", at positions 527 to 896 of the family's 1533-position model. The record is from RNAcentral.